GUAGCGCCUGUGUGGUCGGGAGGUGAGGUGUGUGUGCAGCCCCUGUGCGGUUGGGAGGUGAGGUGUGUGUGCAGCACCUGUGCGGUCGGGAGGUGAGGUGUGUGUGCAGCCCCUGUGUGGUCAGGAGGUGAGGUGUGUGUGCAGCGCCUGUGUGGUCAGGAGGUGAGGUGUGUGUGCAGCCCCUGUGUGGUCAGGAGGUGAGGUGUGUGUGCAGCACCUGUGCGGUCGGGAGGUGAGGUGUGUGUGUAGCGCCUGUGUGGUCGGGAGGUGAGGUGUGUGUGCAGCCCCUGUGCGGUCGGGAGGUGAGGUGUGUGUGCAGCACCUGUGCGGUCGGGAGGUGAGGUGUGUGUGCAGCCCGUGUGGUCAGGAGGUGAGGUGUGUGUGCAGCACCUGUGCGGUCGGGAGGUGAGGUGUGUGUGUAGCGCCUGUGUGGUCGGGAGGUGAGGUGUGUGUGCAGCCCCUGUGUGGUCAGGAGGUGAGGUGUGUGUGCAGCGCCUGUGUGGUCAGGAGGUGAGGUGUGUGUGUAGUGCCUGUGUGGUCGGGAGGUGAGGUGUGUGUGCAGCCCCUGUGUGGUCAGGAGGUGAGGUGUGUGUGUAGCGCCUGUGUGGUCGGGAGGUGAGGUGUGUGUGCAGCCCCUGUGCGGUCGGGAGGUGAGGUGUGUGUGCAGCCCCUGUGCGGUCGGGAGGUGAGGUGUGUGUGCAGCCCCUGUGCGGUCGGGAGGUGAGGUGUGUGUGCAGCCCCUGUGCGGUCGGGAGGUGAGGUGUGUGUGCAGCCCCUGUGCGGUCGGGAGGUGAGGUGUGUGUGCAGCACCUGUGCGGUCGGGAGGUGAGGUGUGUGUGCAGCCCCUGUGCGGUCGGGAGGUGAGGUGUGUGUGCAGCACCUGUGCGGUCGGGAGGUGAGGUGUGUGUGCAGCCCCUGUGCGGUCGGGAGGUGAGGUGUGUGCAGCCCCUGUGCGGUCGGGAGGUGAGGUGUGUGUGCAGCGCCUGUGCGAUCGGGAGGUGAGGUGUGUGUGCAGCG
Erinaceus europaeus (western European hedgehog) is the source of this 1017-nucleotide long non-coding RNA. RefSeq lists it as uncharacterized. The record is from RefSeq and is a predicted model, not a curated record. The transcript has 4 exons. NCBI's taxonomy places the organism in Eukaryota, Metazoa, Chordata, Mammalia, Eulipotyphla, Erinaceidae.